CGAAGCGGGCGGAACAUUGAGGUCCGAACUCUGGGCGCGUGUGUGCAGAUGUCAGUGGUGGGGUCGGUAUUUGGGGCGGCCCGGGCCGGGGGCACCUGCGGGGUGCGGACGUCCGCGGAUUCUGGGAGACGUCGCGGGGAAGGGGAGGCUACAGAGGGAACAGCUAGCUACCCCUGACAUCCAGGUAGAUCCCGGCUCCCAGGAAAGGUUUUAUGUGGUAGAAACUUUGCCUUUUAGUUUGAUAUCCUCUGUCUUCGAACAGCGGGGAUUAAGUCGGUAGGUGAGGUAGUGCAAACAAGUUUGGAAGAGGUGAGCAUCUCUGAAUUAGAAAAACAGAUCUCCCCUCCCUCCCCGUGGAAGUGUGACUAUAAAAACAUUCUUCAGACCUGAAGUGUGGCUCCAGUGGUACGAAGCGAGCCCCCCCCCCCACCCCCCCACGCCGUCAUGGUCCAGCAGGGAAACCGCGUGUAGACUGAAGAAUUGCGGCAGCGUUGACCUGCAUUUUAGUUGACAGUAAGAUUGGUAUUGCAAUUAAUGCGCUAUUUGAAAGGCUGGGUGUGAUGUGUUGACAAUGGUGUAAGUAUUUUUGAACAAAUGUCUAAGAUUUUUCAAGUUUUUUUUUUUUUUUUUUUUUUUUUUUUAGCACAGCUUGUUUCCCCCGUGUCUCGUAUCAUCUUUUACUAUAUGAAGAGAAGGUUCUCCAAAGCUGUAAUUAGGUGUACAUUACACAAGAGUACUUUCCCUUUAAGAAUCCAGCUGUGUUGUUUUGGCAAUUGCCAAGUGCUCCAGUUGUCAGUUUUAAAAUCUGUUACCUUGGCAGUACUUGAACAGUCUGUGGAAAAGGAAUUGCCUUUUGUGAAAAAGGAACAAAGAAGAGUUUUCUGCAAGGAUCAUAUUAAGUGCACUUUUUUGCUGAUACAUCAUUUCUAGUAAGACAUUUUCAUUUUUCUAUGUUAUGAAGUAAAUAAUUGAAUUUUUUCUUUUUUUAAAAUCAGACUGUCUUGUGAGCUUUGAAUUGCAGUCUUUUUGGAGUUUAUUUUGAGGUUUAUUGUAGAUGAAUUAAGGAAAUUUGUAAAGUCUACUUGAAGUUUAUUGUAUUAUACAGUGACAGUUUCUCAUAUAUUUUUUCUGGUAUUGCCAAGAUAAUCCCACACUUUUUCAUCUUACCUACUUCAUCUUCCAUAUCAAUUACCUUUACUUAAAAAAAGAAAAAUUCUGUCGUUCCAAUUUUAGUAUAUGUGCUGCCAAAGCAAGCACAAAAGAAAAAAAUUCUAAAGUAAGUAGUCCAUAUUUACUGUGACAAUAAAUAGGAGAAAGGGAGGGUUUGAGGAUCUGAGUUAGACAUUAGCUGAGAAAGAUAUUCAGAUGAAAGACAAAGCGAGAAAAUCUAGCCAUGUUUCUUGAAAUUCCUUAGGAAGGAUGAAAGAAAAAAACUAAGCAGAGGUAGGAGAUUUUUUUUUUUUAAAUGCAGGCUUCUGUUUGUUACUUUGAAUUUGUCACCUUAAACAUUU
This is a long non-coding RNA of Panthera uncia (snow leopard), 1511 nucleotides long. RefSeq lists it as uncharacterized. The record is from RefSeq and is a predicted model, not a curated record. The transcript has 2 exons. Lineage: Eukaryota; Metazoa; Chordata; Mammalia; Carnivora; Felidae.